ACUGAAUAGAUACCCAGGUAGUCCUAGCCGUAAACGAUGUAGACUUGGCGUAGUCGGGUUUAAAUCCGACUGUGCCGCAGCUAAACGCGAUAAGUCUACCGCCUGGGGACUACGGCCGCGAGGUUAAAACUCAAAGGAAUUGACGGGGCCCGCACAAGCAGCGGAGCGUGUGGUUUAAUUCGAUGUUACACGAAGAACCUUACCAGGGUUUGACAUGCAGGUGGUAGGGAACCGAAAGGGGACCGACUCUUCGGAGAGCCUGCACAGGUGCUGCAUGGCUGUCGUCAGCUCGUGUCGUGAGAUGUUCGGUUAAGUCCGCUAACGAGCGCAACCCUCGCUGUGUGUUAUACGUGUCACACGGGACUGCCGGUCUUAAGCCGGAGGAAGGUGGGGAUGACGUCAAGUCAGCAUGGCCUUUAUAUCCUGGGCUACACACACGCUACAAUGGCCAACACAGUAGGUAGCGAAACCGCGA
RNAcentral lists this ribosomal RNA (475 nucleotides) under uncultured bacterium. RNAcentral's name for it is "bacterial SSU rRNA". It matches the Rfam family "Bacterial small subunit ribosomal RNA", at positions 772 to 1260 of the family's 1533-position model. The record is from RNAcentral.